UCGAGCGAACGGACGAGAAGCUUGCUCCUCUGAUGUUAGCGGCGGACGGGUGAGUAACACGUGGAUAACCUACCUAUAAGACUGGGAUAACUUCGGGAAACCGGAGCUAAUACCGGAUAAUAUUUUGAACCGCAUGGUUCAAAAGUGAAAGACGGUCUUGCUGUCACUUAUAGAUGGAUCCGCGCUGCAUUAGCUAGUUGGUAAGGUAACGGCUUACCAAGGCAACGAUGCAUAGCCGACCUGAGAGGGUGAUCGGCCACACUGGAACUGAGACACGGUCCAGACUCCUACGGGAGGCAGCAGUAGGGAAUCUUCCGCAAUGGGCGAAAGCCUGACGGAGCAACGCCGCGUGAGUGAUGAAGGUCUUCGGAUCGUAAAACUCUGUUAUUAGGGAAGAACAUAUGUGUAAGUAACUGUGCACAUCUUGACGGUACCUAAUCAGAAAGCCACGGCUAACUACGUGCCAGCAGCCGCGGUAAUACGUAGGUGGCAAGCGUUAUCCGGAAUUAUUGGGCGUAAAGCGCGCGUAGGCGGUUUUUUAAGUCUGAUGUGAAAGCCCACGGCUCAACCGUGGAGGGUCAUUGGAAACUGGAAAACUUGAGUGCAGAAGAGGAAAGUGGAAUUCCAUGUGUAGCGGUGAAAUGCGCAGAGAUAUGGAGGAACACCAGUGGCGAAGGCGACUUUCUGGUCUGUAACUGA
RNAcentral lists this ribosomal RNA (699 nucleotides) under uncultured Staphylococcus sp. RNAcentral's name for it is "bacterial SSU rRNA". It matches the Rfam family "Bacterial small subunit ribosomal RNA", at positions 62 to 743 of the family's 1533-position model. The record is from RNAcentral. Lineage: Bacteria; Bacillati; Bacillota; Bacilli; Caryophanales; Staphylococcaceae.